This is a long non-coding RNA of Scatophagus argus, 451 nucleotides long. RefSeq lists it as uncharacterized. NCBI's taxonomy places the organism in Eukaryota, Metazoa, Chordata, Actinopteri, Scatophagidae. The record is from RefSeq and is a predicted model, not a curated record. The transcript is spliced from 2 exons.
GUCCAUGAUUGUAAUAGGAUCACGUAAUGAGCCUGCAGGUUGUUUCCUCAUUCACAUGCAUUAAAGUGGCACAUCAGUUUACAACUGAAAACAAACCAGUUAUGUUGCCAGGUUACCAAAGUUUCAUGCGCACCUUCCAGCCAAUCGGAAUCGGAGGAUUUUUCCACGGCCAUUGUGUGACAGUUAGUAAGAAGAUUUUGUGCAGGGAUGUACAGACUUAUAAAUUCAAUUUGACUAUUUGUUUCAGAUCUUUCGACCUGAUGUUGGUGCAGAAACAUCUGACACAGUAAUUCUGAGUGAACCAAGUAACACCUACUUGGUUCACUCAGGGCUUCGCAUGCACCGCAAAGUGACUCAGGGAGGUGGUUUUACAAAACAUGGAAACCUACACGCUGGAAAAUGAGUGCUCUGAGACCAGGACAGGAAAGGAGGAAGCUGAGUGAAAGAGGAG